GUGCCAGCCGCCGCGGUAAGACGUAGGAUCCGAGCGUUGUCCGGAGUUACUGGGCGUAAAGGGCGCGUAGGCGGCUUUAUAAGUCGGGGGUGAAAGCCCGGAGCUCAACUCCGGGACUGCCUUGGAUACUGGAUGGCUUGAGCAUUGGAGAGGCAAGGGGAAUUCCACGUGUAGCGGUGAAAUGCGUAGAUAUGUGGAGGAACACCAGUGGCGAAGGCGCCUUGCUGGCCAAUUGCUGACGCUGAGGCGCGAAAGUGUGGGGAGCAAACAGGAUUAGAUACCCUGGUAGUCC
RNAcentral lists this ribosomal RNA (292 nucleotides) under uncultured bacterium. RNAcentral's name for it is "partial 16S ribosomal RNA". It matches the Rfam family "Bacterial small subunit ribosomal RNA", at positions 505 to 796 of the family's 1533-position model. The record is from RNAcentral.